AGUGAACGCUGGCGGCAGGCCUAACACAUGCAAGUCGAACGGCAGCACAGUAAGAGCUUGCUCUUACGGGUGGCGAGUCGCGGACGGGUGAGGAAUACAUCGGACUCUACUUUUUCGUGGGGGAUAACGUAGGGACAGUUACGCUAAUACCGCAUCCGCCCUACGGGUGAAAGCAGGGGAUCUUCGCACCUUGCGCGAUUGAAUGAGCCGAUGUCGGAUUAGCUAGUUGGCGGGGUAAAGGCCCACCAAGGCGACGAUCCGUAGCUGGUCUGAGAGGAUGAUCAGCCACACUGGAACUGAGACACGGUCCAGACUCCUACGGGAGGCAGCAGUGGGGAAUAUUGGACAAUGGGCGCAAGCCUGAUCCAGCCAUACCGCGUGGGUGAAGAAGGCCUUCGGGUUGUAAAGCCCUUUUGUUGGGAAGGAAAAGCAGCAGGUUAAUACCCCGCUGUUCUGACGGUACCCAAAGAAUAAGCACCGGCUAACUUCGUG
RNAcentral lists this ribosomal RNA (492 nucleotides) under uncultured bacterium. RNAcentral describes it as "partial 16S ribosomal RNA". It matches the Rfam family "Bacterial small subunit ribosomal RNA", at positions 29 to 507 of the family's 1533-position model. The record is from RNAcentral.